AGAGUUGUAUCCUGGCUCAGAUUGAACGCUGGCGGCAUGCCUUACACAUGCAAGUCGAACGGUAGAGGGGGCAACCCUUCGAGAGUGGCGAACGGGUGAGUAAUAUAUCGGAACGUACCCAGGAGUGGGGGAUAACGUAGCGAAAGUUACGCUAAUACCGCAUACGUCCUAAGGGAGAAAGCAGGGGACCGCAAGGCCUUGUGCUCGUGGAGCGGCCGAUAUCUGAUUAGCUAGUUGGUGGGGUAAAGGCCUACCAAGGCAUCGAUCAGUAGCUGGUCUGAGAGGACGACCAGCCACACUGGAACUGAGACACGGUCCAGACUCCUACGGGAGGCAGCAGUGGGGAAUUUUGGACAAUGGGGGCAACCCUGAUCCAGCAAUGCCGCGUGAGUGAAGAAGGCCUUCGGGUUGUAAAGCUCUUUUGUCAGGGAAGAAAAGGGAUUGGCUAAUAUCCAGUCCUCAUGACGGUACCUGAAGAAUAAGCACCGGCUAACUACGUGCCAGCAGCCGCGGUAAUACGUAGGGUGCAAGCGUUAAUCGGAAUUACUGGGCGUAAAGCGUGCGCAGGCGGUUUUGUAAGACUGUCGUGAAAUCCCCGGGCUCAACCUGGGAAUGGCGAUGGUGACUGCAAGGCUAGAGUUUGGCAGAGGGGGGUAGAA
Molecule: ribosomal RNA, 659 nt
Filed under: uncultured beta proteobacterium
Lineage: Bacteria; Pseudomonadati; Pseudomonadota; Betaproteobacteria
Description: bacterial SSU rRNA
Rfam family: Bacterial small subunit ribosomal RNA
Source: RNAcentral